This 355-nucleotide ribosomal RNA is filed under the name uncultured bacterium. RNAcentral's name for it is "partial 16S ribosomal RNA". It matches the Rfam family "Bacterial small subunit ribosomal RNA", at positions 338 to 710 of the family's 1533-position model. The record is from RNAcentral.
CCUACGGGUGGCAGCAGUGGGGAAUAUUGCACAAUGGGGGAAACCCUGAUGCAGCGACGCCGCGUGAAGGAUGAAGUAUUUCGGUAUGUAAACUUCUAUCAGCCGGGAAGAAAAUGACGGUACCUGACUCAGAAGCCCCGGCUAACUACGUGCCAGCAGCCGCGGUAAUACGUAGGGGGCAAGCGUUAUCCGGAUUUACUGGGUGUAAAGGGAGCGUAGACGGUAUGGCAAGUCUGAUGUGAAAACCCGGGGCUCAACCCCGGGACUGCAUUUGAAACUGCCGAACUAGAGUGUCGGAGAGGCAAGUGGAAUUCCCAGUGUAGCGGUGAAAUGCGUAGAUAUUGAGAGGAACCAC